This 1768-nucleotide long non-coding RNA is filed under the name Homo sapiens (human). RNAcentral describes it as "HSALNT0321422". The record is from RNAcentral. Lineage: Eukaryota; Metazoa; Chordata; Mammalia; Primates; Hominidae.
UCUGCCUCUCACCCUCCUACUGCUGCCGAAGGAUACAUUUCUGAAAAUGUGCUGCAGAUGUGAAUAUUUUCUGCAAGUGCCUGUGGCUGACCCAGGCUACUGACGCAGUCAGCCUGCUCAGCACUGCUUCUCUGGAACAAACCCUUGACCCCUCUUCCUUUCUCUCAACUUGGACUUUCAGCCCUUUCUAUCCCACUUUAUCCUGAAGCUCUGCUUGGCUGGCUUAGCUGUUAAUUUUUUUUUUUUUUUAAUUCCAUAGCUUUAACUCUUCUAAGAAUUCUGUCAUUGUCUCUUUUGAUAAUUAAGUACUCUCCACCAAUGUAGUCCCCUAGGAGGGGAGGGGUUCAGGAGAGAGGAGAAAAAAACAGAAGAGAAUUAACAUGAAUUAAGCAAAGAUUCUGGGCCAGGCACCAAAGCUAAGGAGCUUCAUACGUUAUCUCUUUAAUCUCCUCAAAACUUUGAGAAUGGAUCAUUGUUAGCUCAUUUUACAAACAGGAAAAUGAAAGAUUUGAAAGAUGCUCCUUUUGUCUGGAAGCUUCAGCUAUAUGCCAUCUCAAGUUCCAUCUUCCUGGAAAACCCUUGUAAAUCCACCACUGUUAGGCUUAGCCAUCAUCUCCUUGAUGAAGCCUAUCCCUGACCUCUGCCCAAGAGAUGGGGGUCUUGCUAUGUUGCCUAGGCUGGUGUAUAGUGGCUAUUUACAGGCACAGUCAUAGCCUCAGCCUUCCAAGUAGCUGGUACUACAGGUGCGGCCAACAUGCCUCGCUAAGCUGAACCAUUUUAAAACUAUGGAAAUAAUGUUAGACAAAAAGCAAAUUCAAACGAUUUUCUUAUUCAAAUUCAAAAUGGGUCAUAAAAUAGCAGAGACAACUCGCAACAUCAAAAAUGCAUUUGGCCCAGGAACUGCUAAUGAAGAAAUGUACAGUGCAGUGGUGGUUCAAGAAGUUUUGCAAAGCAGAAGAGAGCCUUGAAGAUGAGGAGCAUAGUGGCCAGCCAUCAGAAGUUGACAACAACCAACUGAGAGCACUCAUGGAAGCUGAUCCUCUUACAAACACAUGAGAAGUUGCCCAAGAACUCAACGUCAACCAUUCUAUGGUUGUUCAUCAUUGAAGCAGAUGGAAAGGCAAAGAAGCUCGAUAAAUGGGUGCCUCACGAGCUCAGCAAACAUAAAAUAAAACCAUCAUUUUGAAGUAUCAUCUCUUAGUCUACACAACAAUAACGAACCAUUUCUCCAUCGGAUUGUGCAAUGAAAAGUGAAUUUUGUAUGACAACUGGUGAUGACCAGCUCAGUGAUUGGAUCAAGAAAGAAGCUCCAAAGUCCCAAAGCCAAACUUGUACCAAAAAAGGUCAUGGUCACUGGGAUCUGCUGCCGGUUAUGAUCCUCUACAGCUUUCUGAAUCCCAGUGAAACCAUUACAUCUGAGAAGCAUGCUCAGCAAAUCGAUGAGAUGCACUGAAAACCGCAAUGCCUGCAGCCGGCAUUGGUCAACAGAAAGGGCCCAAUUCACCACGACAAUGCUUGACGGCACAUCACACAACCAAUGCUUCAAAAGUUGAAUGAAUUGGGCUACAAAGUUUUGCCUCAUCCACCAUAUUCACUUGAUCUCUCGCCAACCAGCUACCACUUCUUCAAGCAUCUCAACAACUUUUUGCAGGGAUAAUGCUUCCACAACCAGCAGGAUGCAAAAAAUGCUUUCCAAGAGUUUGUCGAAUCCCAAAGCUCGAAUUUUUAUACUGCAGGAAUAAACAAACUUAUUUCUUGUUGGCAAAAA